RNAcentral lists this ribosomal RNA (519 nucleotides) under uncultured eukaryote. Its description in RNAcentral is "bacterial SSU rRNA". It matches the Rfam family "Eukaryotic small subunit ribosomal RNA", at positions 1161 to 1707 of the family's 1831-position model. The record is from RNAcentral.
AGGGCACUACCAGGAGUGGAUCCUGCGGCUCAAUUUGACUCAACACGGGAAAGCUCACCUGGUCCGGACACUGGAAGGAUUGACAGAUUAAGAGCUCUUUCUUGAUUCAGUGGGUGGUGGUGCAUGGCCGUUCUUAGUUGGUGGAGCGAUUUGUCUGGUUAAUUCCGAUAACGGACGAGACUCUAGCCUACUAAAUAGGUGUUCCGAUCCCAUCAGUCGGACGCUCUUCUUAGAGGGACAAGCGGCGUUUAGCCGCACGAGACAGAGCAAUAACAGGUCUGUGAUGCCCUUAGAUGUCCGGGGCCGCACGCGCGCUACACUGAAGGUACCAGCGUGUGUCCCUGUCCGGCAGGACUGGGUAAUCCGUUGAACCUCCUUCGUGAUAGGGAUAGGGGCUUGUAAUUGUUCCCCUUGAACGAGGAAUUCCCAGUAAGCGUGAAUCAUCAGUUCACGUUGAUUACGUCCCUGGCCUUUGUACACACCGAAAACGCUACUACUAAUUGGAUGAUUAAUUGAUGU